UACAGAUGGUGCGAGCGUUAUUCAUAUUGAAUGGGCGUAAAGGGUAUGUAGGCGGUGUCAAAAAAUUUCGUCCGAAACACUGGAGUCGUAACUGCAGGAGGAGACUUUUAGAUUAUUGCGCUGGAGUUAAUAUCGGGUCGGAGGAAUUUCCAGCACUAAAGGUAGAAUUUGUAAAUUCUGGAAAGAAUGCCAAAGGUGAAGACAUCCCUCUAGAGUUAACUGACGCUGAGGUACGAAAGCAUAGGGAGCAAACAGG
Molecule: ribosomal RNA, 256 nt
Filed under: uncultured bacterium
Lineage: Bacteria
Description: partial 16S ribosomal RNA
Rfam family: Bacterial small subunit ribosomal RNA
Source: RNAcentral